GUGAAUCAUCAAAUUUUUGAACGCAAAUUGCGCCUUUUUCGGAAGGCAUGUCUGUUUGAGGGCACCAUUUAACAAAUAAUGUGCAUUUCGUGUGCACACGUUGAUGAGCUUUCCAAAAUUAUGUAUUAUUAUUUUUGGUGGCGCAUAAUAAACACCGCGAUGCUUUUUUUCAGUUCAGUGGUAGUAAAUUUUUUUUUUCUUUGGGUGUUGAAAAAGGGUGAUC
RNAcentral lists this unclassified non-coding RNA (223 nucleotides) under Paraglomus occultum. RNAcentral describes it as "partial contains 5.8S ribosomal RNA and internal transcribed spacer 2". The stretch from base 1 to 65 matches the Rfam family "5.8S ribosomal RNA", at positions 84 to 154 of the family's 154-position model. The record is from RNAcentral. Lineage: Eukaryota; Fungi; Glomeromycota; Glomeromycetes; Paraglomerales; Paraglomeraceae.